CAUGUAGGCGGCUUAAUAAGUCGAGCGUGAAAAUGCGGGGCUCAACCCCGUAUGGCGCUGGAAACUGUUAGGCUUGAGUGCAGGAGAGAAAAGGGGAAUUCCCAGUGUAGCGGUGAAAUGCGUAGAUAUUGGGAGGAACACCAGUGGCGAAGGCGCCUUUCUGGACUGUGUCUGACGCUGAGAUGCGAAAGCCAGGGUAGCGAACG
RNAcentral lists this ribosomal RNA (206 nucleotides) under uncultured bacterium. RNAcentral describes it as "partial 16S ribosomal RNA". It matches the Rfam family "Bacterial small subunit ribosomal RNA", at positions 568 to 774 of the family's 1533-position model. The record is from RNAcentral.